This 107-nucleotide microRNA precursor is filed under the name Marmota monax (woodchuck). Lineage: Eukaryota; Metazoa; Chordata; Mammalia; Rodentia; Sciuridae. The record is from RNAcentral.
AUGAGGUCAUCAGUGCAGUCUUGUUAAAAGGCAUGUUCUGAUCCAGUAAGUGGAGGGGCUAUGGAAGAAGAUUCUGCAUUUCUAACAAGUUCUCAGAUGCUGCAGCU